This 230-nucleotide long non-coding RNA is filed under the name Coffea arabica (coffee). Its description in RNAcentral is "long non-coding RNA (CARA_LNC004684)". Lineage: Eukaryota; Viridiplantae; Streptophyta; Magnoliopsida; Gentianales; Rubiaceae. The record is from RNAcentral.
AAACAUUUACAAUCCUAAUGGAUCAAAUAUAACAAAACAAAAUAAAAGGGACAUAAAUAGAGAAAAAAAAACGGUAUGAAGUUUUCAGCGGGUCGACUCGUCGGAAACCGGAAAAAUUCUAGCCAAGUCAGCAUAAACCCCUUUUUACAAACUUUUGAGACCGGAUCGUUUCAUAUACAUGAAGCUCACAACAUUAUGAACUAAUCCAAACAUCAAACAAGAUUCAAAAG